RNAcentral lists this transfer RNA (69 nucleotides) under Marmota monax (woodchuck). It matches the Rfam family "tRNA". From Rfam's summary of the family: Transfer RNA (tRNA) molecules are approximately 80 nucleotides in length. Lineage: Eukaryota; Metazoa; Chordata; Mammalia; Rodentia; Sciuridae. The record is from Rfam by way of RNAcentral.
GGAGUUGUGGUUCAGUAGUAGAGUGCUCGCCUAGCAUGUGUGAGGCCCUGGGUUCAAUCCUCAGCACCA